AUGAACGCUGGCGGCGUGCCUCAUACAUGCCAGUCGAGCGAACAGACGAGGAGCUUGCUCCUCUGACGUUAGCGGCGGACGGGUGAGUAACACGUGGAUAACCUACCUAUAAGACUGGGAUAACUUCGGGAAACCGGAGCUAAUACCGGAUAAUAUAUUGAACCGUAUGGUUCAAUAGUGAAAGACGGUUUUGCUGUCACUUAUAGAUGGAUCCGCGCCGCAUUAGCUAGUUGGUAAGGUAACGGCUUACCAAGGCAACGAUGCGUAGCCGACCUGAGAGGGUGAUCGGCCACACUGGAACUGAGACACGGUCCAGACUCCUACGGGAGGCAGCAGUAGGGAAUCUUCCGCAAUGGGCGAAAGCCUGACGGAGCAACGCCGCGUGAGUGAUGAAGGUCUUCGGAUCGUAAAACUCUGUUAUUAGGGAAGGACAAAUGUGUAAGUAACUAUGCACGUCUUGACGGUACCUAAUCAGAAAGCCACGGCUAACUACGUG
RNAcentral lists this ribosomal RNA (496 nucleotides) under uncultured bacterium. Its description in RNAcentral is "partial 16S ribosomal RNA". It matches the Rfam family "Bacterial small subunit ribosomal RNA", at positions 29 to 507 of the family's 1533-position model. The record is from RNAcentral.